This 390-nucleotide ribosomal RNA is filed under the name uncultured bacterium. RNAcentral's name for it is "bacterial SSU rRNA". It matches the Rfam family "Bacterial small subunit ribosomal RNA", at positions 28 to 420 of the family's 1533-position model. The record is from RNAcentral.
GACGAACGCUGGCGGCGUGCUUAACACAUGCAAGUCGAGCGGUAAGGCCCUUUCGGGGGUACACGAGCGGCGAACGGGUGAGUAACACGUGGGUGACCUGCCCUCAGCUCUGGGAUAAGCCUGGGAAACCGGGUCUAAUACCGGAUAUGACUCCAUGACGCAUGUUGUGGGGUGGAAAGCCUUGUGCGGCUGAGGAUGGGCCCGCGGCCUAUCAGCUUGUUGGUGGGGUGAGGCCUACCAAGGCGACGACGAGUAGCCGGCCUGAGAGGGCGACCGGCCACACUGGGACUGAGACACGGCCCAGACUCCUACGGGAGGCAGCAGUGGGGAAUCUUGCGCAAUGGGCGAAAGCCUGACGCAGCGACGCCGCGUGAGGGAUGACGGCCUCGG